This 337-nucleotide ribosomal RNA is filed under the name uncultured Pseudomonadota bacterium. RNAcentral's name for it is "bacterial SSU rRNA". It matches the Rfam family "Bacterial small subunit ribosomal RNA", at positions 29 to 351 of the family's 1533-position model. The record is from RNAcentral. Lineage: Bacteria; Pseudomonadati; Pseudomonadota.
AACGAACGCUGGCGGCGUGCCUAACACAUGCAAGUCGAACGGAAUGAGGGGGCUUGCUCCUUCAUUUAGUGGCGCACGGGUGAGUAACGCGUAGAUAAUCUGCCUGAUGAUCUGGGAUAACACUUCGAAAGGGGUGCUAAUACCGGAUAAGCCCACGGGGGUCUUUGGAUUCUGCGGGAAAAGGGGGGCCGUUUAGGUCUCUGUCAUCAGAUGAGUCUGCGUACCAUUAGCUAGUUGGUAGGGUAAAGGCCUACCAAGGCUACGAUGGUUAGCUGGUCUGAGAGGAUGAUCAGCCACACUGGAACUGAGACACGGUCCAGACUCCUACGGGAGGCAG